Molecule: ribosomal RNA, 253 nt
Filed under: uncultured bacterium
Lineage: Bacteria
Description: partial 16S ribosomal RNA
Rfam family: Bacterial small subunit ribosomal RNA
Source: RNAcentral
UACAGAGGGGGCGAGCGUUGUUCGGAAUUACUGGGCGUAAAGGGCGCGUAGGCGGCCUUCUAAGUCGAACGUGAAAUCCCCGGGCUCAACCCGGGAACUGCGUCCGAUACUGGGAGGCUUGAAUCCGGGAGAGGGAUGUGGAAUUCCAGGUGUAGCGGUGAAAUGCGUAGAUAUCUGGAGGAACACCGGUGGCGAAGGCGGCAUCCUGGACCGAGAUUGACGCUGAGGCGCGAAAGCCAGGGGAGCAAACGGG